RNAcentral lists this transfer RNA (65 nucleotides) under bovine gut metagenome. It matches the Rfam family "tRNA", at positions 6 to 65 of the family's 71-position model. Rfam says of the family: Transfer RNA (tRNA) molecules are approximately 80 nucleotides in length. Their secondary structure includes four short double-helical elements and three loops (D, anti-codon, and T loops). Further hydrogen bonds mediate the characteristic L-shaped molecular structure. tRNAs have two regions of fundamental functional importance: the anti-codon, which is responsible for specific mRNA codon recognition, and the 3' end, to which the tRNAs corresponding amino acid is attached (by aminoacyl-tRNA synthetases). tRNAs cope with the degeneracy of the genetic code in two manners: having more than one tRNA (with a specific anti-codon) for a particular amino acid; and 'wobble' base-pairing, i.e. permitting non-standard base-pairing at the 3rd anti-codon position. The record is from RNAcentral.
UUUUAGCUCAGCUGGUAGAGCAGCGGACUCUUAAUCCGAAGGUCGUGGGUUCGAUCCCCUCAAGG